RNAcentral lists this unclassified non-coding RNA (212 nucleotides) under Hevea brasiliensis (rubber tree). Lineage: Eukaryota; Viridiplantae; Streptophyta; Magnoliopsida; Malpighiales; Euphorbiaceae. The record is from RNAcentral.
AACACAAAGACCUGGACAUAUUAAAGUCUCGAAGACCUGGACAUUAUAGCAAGCUGUUUUCCAAGAUAGCCUAAAUCUUCGCUGCUUUGAAGAUAAAGCAUCACUCUGUGAGACGUGGAAACUCUUACCUCCGAGUGAUCUUUGUGCUGCUGCUAUCUAUUUGCAACUUUCAGGAGGGCAAGAAUCUCCACAUCAUUGAGGGCUAAUUCUGA